Molecule: ribosomal RNA, 240 nt
Filed under: uncultured Streptococcus sp.
Lineage: Bacteria; Bacillati; Bacillota; Bacilli; Lactobacillales; Streptococcaceae
Description: partial 16S ribosomal RNA
Rfam family: Bacterial small subunit ribosomal RNA
Source: RNAcentral
GGGUGAGUAACGCGUAGGUAACCUGCCUUGUAGCGGGGGAUAACUAUUGGAAACGAUAGCUAAUACCGCAUAACAAUGGAUGACACAUGUCAUUUAUUUGAAAGGGGCAAUUGCUCCACUACAAGAUGGACCUGCGUUGUAUUAGCUAGUAGGUGAGGUAACGGCUCACCUAGGCGACGAUACAUAGCCGACCUGAGAGGGUGAUCGGCCACACUGGGAAGGAGAAAAGGAAAAGAAUAC